Molecule: ribosomal RNA, 253 nt
Filed under: uncultured bacterium
Lineage: Bacteria
Description: partial 16S ribosomal RNA
Rfam family: Bacterial small subunit ribosomal RNA
Source: RNAcentral
AACGUAGGAGACAAACGUUAUCCGGAGUUACUGGGCGUAAAGGGCGUGUAGGUGGUUGUGUAAGUCUGGCGUGAAAUUUUUCGGCUUAACCGGGAAAGGUCGUCGGAUACUGCAGAACUAGAGGACGGUAGAGGCGUGUGGAAUUCCGGGUGUAGUGGUGAAAUGCGUAGAGAUCCGGAGGAACACCAGUGGCGAAGGCGGCGCCCUGGCUCGCAACUGACGCUCAGACACGACAGCAUGGGGAGCGAACGGG